RNAcentral lists this ribosomal RNA (494 nucleotides) under uncultured bacterium. RNAcentral's name for it is "partial 16S ribosomal RNA". It matches the Rfam family "Bacterial small subunit ribosomal RNA", at positions 28 to 507 of the family's 1533-position model. The record is from RNAcentral.
GACGAACGCUGGCGGCGUGCUUAACACAUGCAAGUCGAACGGAAAGGCCUGCUUUCCCUUGUGGAUUGCGGGUACUCGAGUGGCGAACGGGUGAGUAACACGUGAGUGAUCUGCCCCCAACUUGGGUAUAAGCCUGGGAAACUGGGUCUAAUUCCCGUUAGGACUGCAGGGUGGUGCCUGUGGUGGAAAACGAUCUUCUAGUGGUUGGGGAUGAGCCCGCGGCCUAUCAGCUUGUUGGUGGGGUAAUGGCCUACCAAGGCGGCGACGGGUAGCCGGCCUGGGAGGGGCGACGGCGACACUGGGACUGGGAUACGGCCCAGACGCCUACGAGAAGCAGCAGUGGGGAAGAUUGGACAGUGGGCGGAAGGCUGAUGCAGCGACGCCGCGUGGGGGAUGACGGCCUUCGAGUUGUAAGCUACUUUCGACCGCGAUAAAGCCACCUGGUUGGGAGGAUGGUGACGGUAGUGGUAGAAGAAGCACCGGCUAACUACGUG